RNAcentral lists this ribosomal RNA (428 nucleotides) under uncultured Aeromonas sp. RNAcentral describes it as "bacterial SSU rRNA". It matches the Rfam family "Bacterial small subunit ribosomal RNA", at positions 355 to 775 of the family's 1533-position model. The record is from RNAcentral. Lineage: Bacteria; Pseudomonadati; Pseudomonadota; Gammaproteobacteria; Aeromonadales; Aeromonadaceae.
UGGGGAAUAUUGCACAAUGGGGGAAACCCUGAUGCAGCCAUGCCGCGUGCGUGAAGAAGGCCUUCGGGUUGUAAAGCACUUUCAGCGAGGAGGAAAGGUUGUUGGCUAAUACCCAACAGCUGUGACGUUACUCGCAGAAGAAGCACCGGCUAACUCCGUGCCAGCAGCCGCGGUAAUACGGAGGGUGCAAGCGUUAAUCGGAAUUACUGGGCGUAAAGCGCACGCAGGCGGUUGGAUAAGUUAGAUGUGAAAGCCCCGGGCUCAACCUGGGAAUUGCAUUUAAAACUGUCCAGCUAGAGUCUUGUAGAGGGGGGUAGAAUUCCAGGUGUAGCGGUGAAAUGCGUAGAGAUCUGGAGGAAUACCGGUGGCGAAGGCGGCCCCCUGGACAAAGACUGACGCUCAGGUGCGAAAGCGUGGGGAGCAAACAG